Gambusia affinis (western mosquitofish) is the source of this 754-nucleotide long non-coding RNA. RefSeq lists it as uncharacterized. The record is from RefSeq and is a predicted model, not a curated record. The transcript has 4 exons. NCBI's taxonomy places the organism in Eukaryota, Metazoa, Chordata, Actinopteri, Cyprinodontiformes, Poeciliidae.
GCUCUAAUGCUUUGCUAGAUAACGGAUCCUGUGAUUAAACGGCAGUUUGUCACUUUUUACUGUAAAACUGUAAACUUAUUAUGAUAAUUUUGACCUGAGAUCGCGUGUUAUAGACUUUACAUGAUUCAAACAUCUCUUUCUUCGUCGCUCCGGUCCGUGAAGAAGCUGAUCUGGUGUCAGUGCAGGAGCUGCUGCUGACCUGAGACCUCUGCAGGAAUCCCAGCCAGCUUCUCACAGACGAUGUAGUCGUCCGGGUUGAUGAAGGGCAGCUGCUCCAUCAUGCACUGCUUGGGGAUGAGGACCACCAUGUCGCUGCUGUUGCCGGAGCCGCACAGUUUCCCCAGGCUGUUGAGGUUCAGGAGGCUGGAGCGGUUCAUGAUUCCAACCGGACGGACCACGUCUGAAACCAGGCAGCUGCUCUCUGACUCCUUAUCAUUUGGAAGCAGAUGGAGAAACAGCUGAAGGAGAAACUCCUUAGAGUCUAUAUUUAUCUGGACAGUUUGGUAUUUUAAGGAGUCUGAAUGCUUGGAAGAGGUGACAGCUUGAUGUCUGUGAAACGACAUAAUGAAGAUACUGACUGAAAUGAAAAUGAGCGAAGAGCUCCCCCUGCUGGUCUGGAUGAACACAACAUCACAACUAGCGAGUGUAAACCAGAAGAUUUCUGAAUAAAACUGUUUUACAAAGGGGAGGUGGGCAGACUUUUGUGAAAAUAAUUUCUUCUUUUUAUAUUUAUUUAUUUAGUUUUACUUUUUUU